AGAGAAGAGCAACUAGAAUGAUUAGGGGUUUGCAAUGGGUCCCUUAUGAGGAGAGAUUAAAGAGGCUAGGACUUUUCAGCUUGGAAAAGAGGAGGUUG
Long non-coding RNA from Dermochelys coriacea (leatherback sea turtle), 98 nucleotides. RefSeq lists it as uncharacterized. The transcript has 3 exons. NCBI's taxonomy places the organism in Eukaryota, Metazoa, Chordata, Testudines, Dermochelyidae. The record is from RefSeq and is a predicted model, not a curated record.